AUGCCACAAUACCCUACAACGACACAGUGCCCCACAACGACAGUGCCCCACAGCGACACAGUGCCCCACAACGACACAGUGCCCCACAACGACACAGUGCCCCACAACGACACAGUGCCCCACAACGACACAGUGCCCCACAACGACACAGUGCCCCACAACGACACAGUGCCCCACAGCGACACAGUGCCCCACAACGACACAGUGCCCCACAGCGACACAGUGCCCCACAGCGACACAGUGCCCCACAGCGACACAGUGCCCCACAGCGACACAGUGCCCCACAGCGACACAGUGCCCCACAGCGACACUGUACCCCACAACGACACUGUACCCCACAACGACACUAUACCCCACAACACUAUACCCCACUAUACCCCACAACGACACUAUACCCCACAACGACACUACAACACUAUACCCCACAACGACACUGUACCCCACAACGACACUAUACCCCACAACACUAUACCCCACUAUACCCCACAACGACACUAUACCCCACAACGACACUACAACACUAUACCCCACAACGACACUACACCCCACAACGACACUACACCCCACUAUACCCCACAACGACACUACACCCCACUAUACCCCACAACGACACUACACCCCACAACGACACUACACCCCACUAUACCCCACAACGACACUAUACCCCACAACAACACUAUACCCCACAAUGACACUAUACCCCACAACGACACUAUACCCCACAACGACACUAUACCCCACUAUACCCCACAACGACACUACACCCCACUAUACUCCACAACGACACUAUACCCCACAACAACACUAUACCCCACAAUGACACUAUACCCCACAACGACACUAUACCCCACUAUACCCCACAACGACAGUAUACCCCACUAUACCCCACAACGACACUAUACCCCACAACGACACUAUACCCCACAACGACACUAUACCUCACUAUACCCCACUACACCCCACAAUACCCACUACACCCCACAACGACACAAAGCCGAAACAGGUUUAUAG
This 1011-nucleotide long non-coding RNA is filed under the name Oncorhynchus mykiss (rainbow trout). RNAcentral describes it as "lncRNA (ENSOMYG00000071882.1)". Lineage: Eukaryota; Metazoa; Chordata; Actinopteri; Salmoniformes; Salmonidae. The record is from RNAcentral.